AGAGUUUGAUCCUGGCUCAGGAUGAACGCUGGCGGCGUGCCUAACACAUGCAAGUCGAGCGUGAACCCUGCGAAUGAAACUUCGGUCGAUUUUGCAGGAGGAAAGCGGCGGACGGGUGAGUAACGCGUAGGUAACCUGCCCCAUACUGAGGGAUAGCCUCGGGAAACCGGGAUUAAUACCUCAUAACACCGUUUGUUCGCAUGGACGAACGGUCAAAGAUUUACCGGUAUGGGAUGGGCCUGCGUCUGAUUAGCUGGUUGGUGGGGUAACGGCCUACCAAGGCGACGAUCAGUAGCCGACCUGAGAGGGUGAUCGGCCACAUUGGAACUGAGACACGGUCCAAACUCCUACGGGAGGCAGCAGUGGGGAAUAUUGCACAAUGGGCGAAAGCCUGAUGCAGCAACGCCGCGUGAGCGAAGAAGGCCUUUGGGUUGUAAAGCUCUGUCGGGUAGGAAGAUAAUGACGGUACUACCCGAGGAAGCCCCGGCUAACUACGUGCCAGCAGCCGCGGUAAUACGUAGGGGGCGAGCGUUAUCCGGAAUUACUGGGUGUAAAGGGUGCGUAGGUGGCUGCUUAAGCGUGAGGUGAAAGGCAAUGGCUUAACCAUUGUGAGCCUCGCGAACUGGGUGGCUUGAGUGCAGGAGAGGAAAGCGGAAUUCCUAGUGUAGCGGUGAAAUGCGUAGAUAUUAGGAGGAACACCAGUGGCGAAGGCGGCUUUCUGGACUGCAACUGACACUGAGGCACGAAAGCGUGGGGAGCAAACAGGAUUAGAUACCCUGGUAGUCCACGCCGUAAACGAUGAGCACUAGGUGUCGGGGUCGCAAGACUUCGGUGCCGCAGUUAACGCAUUAAGUGCUCCGCCUGGGGAGUACGCACGCAAGUGUGAAACUCAAAGGAAUUGACGGGGACCCGCACAAGCAGCGGAGCAUGUGGUUUAAUUCGAAGCAACGCGAAGAACCUUACCAGGGCUUGACAUCCCUCUGACAGGUGGGUAAUGCCACCCUCCCUUCGGGGCAGAGGUGACAGGUGGUGCAUGGUUGUCGUCAGCUCGUGUCGUGAGAUGUUGGGUUAAGUCCCGCAACGAGCGCAACCCUUGUCAUUAGUUGCCAUCAGGUAAAGCUGGGCACUCUAAUGAGACUGUCGGGGAUAACUCGGAGGAAGGUGGGGAUGACGUCAAAUCAUCAUGCCCCUUAUGUUCUGGGCUACACACGUGCUACAAUGGCCGGUACAGAGAGAGGCGAACCCGCGAGGGGGAGCAAAACUCCAAAACCGGUCCCAGUUCGGAUUGCAGGCUGAAACUCGCCUGCAUGAAGUCGGAGUUGCUAGUAAUCGCGAAUCAGCAUGUCGCGGUGAAUGCGUUCCCGGGUCUUGUACACACCGCCCGUCACACCACGGAAGUUGGGGGCGCCCGAAGUCGGUCGAUAAAUAGGCUGCCUAAGGCGAAACCAAUGACUGGGGUGAAGUCGUAACAAGGUA
Molecule: ribosomal RNA, 1476 nt
Filed under: uncultured bacterium
Lineage: Bacteria
Description: bacterial SSU rRNA
Rfam family: Bacterial small subunit ribosomal RNA
Source: RNAcentral